Daphnia pulex (common water flea) is the source of this 800-nucleotide long non-coding RNA. RefSeq lists it as uncharacterized. The record is from RefSeq and is a predicted model, not a curated record. The transcript is spliced from 2 exons. NCBI's taxonomy places the organism in Eukaryota, Metazoa, Arthropoda, Branchiopoda, Diplostraca, Daphniidae.
AGUGGUUUCGCAUUAGUACCACCCUUGAAAAUCAAAAUAAUAUCGGUUACUAGUUUUUUGCUUAUCUGUGGAGUGCAGGUAAACUAGUUUCUUGUUGUCAAUAUGGCCGAAGAAAAUAUUUGUUCUAUUGCGUUAAUUCUUAAUAAGAAAGAUUGCAAUUCUAAAAGGCUGGUUGAUAAUUAUAGUGAGCGAAAUGUGAGCGAACUGAGUCCAAGUGAAACAGAGUUGUUAUUAUUGAGGACCAGGUUGUCCAAUACUGACAGCUUAACGAAAAUUUGUGAACACCACGAGCGAGACUUUUCAUUAGACAACCAAUCAAGCUUUAUUGGGGUAUGAUUUUGAGAAGUUGUUGUAAUCCAUUUUAUCUUCAUGCUAGGAAACGUAAAGCCUUGAAGGUUAUUUCUCUGUCCCUAUCUAGAAAAACAGCAGCCAUUCCUCCACUCAUUGUUGGUUACAAGUUGUGCAUAGUCUGUUUUCAACAUGCAAUGAACUUGAAUGUUACGAAGUGCCAAAUUGAUAAAGUUGCUGAUAGUAUCCUGGAUAGACCUAUUGCAUCUGCAUCUUCUUUUGGUUCUAAUGCUAAAUUUUAUUAAGUGAACAGAAUGCAAAUGAUUCUGGAGAAAAGGUUGACGCACUGUGUGCAAGCCUUGGUCUGUCACCUUUGACACAAAAAUCCAAGCUUGAUUUGGAACAAAUAACUCAUUUUGGAAUUCGGUAAUUGGCGAAAAUUUCAGAUGCAGUAGCGAAUGAACUUUCCGGCGCCCUACAAAUUUUUCUUUCAAACGAGACUGGACAAAACU